AGUGAACGCUGGCGGUAGGCCUAACACAUGCAAGUCGAACGGCAGCACAGUAAGAGCUUGCUCUUACGGGUGGCGAGUGGCGGACGGGUGAGGAAUACAUCGUAAUCUACUUUUUCGUGGGGGAUAACGUAGGGAAACUUACGCUAAUACCGCAUACGACCUACGGGUGAAAGCAGGGGAUCUUCUGACCUUGCGCGAUUGAAUGAGCCGCUGUCGGAUUAGCUAGUUGGCGGGGUAAAGGCCCACCAAGGCGACGAUCCGUAGCUGGUCUGAGAGGAUGAUCAGCCACACUGGAACUGAGACACGGUCCAGACUCCUACGGGAGGCAGCAGUGGGGAAUAUUGGACAAUGGGCGCAAGCCUGAUCCAGCCAUACCGCGUGGGUGAAGAAGGCCUUCGGGUUGUAAAGCCCUUUUGUUGGGAAAGAAAAGCAGCAGGUUAAUACCACGCUGUUCUGACGGUACCCAAAGAAUAAGCACCGGCUAACUUCGUG
This 492-nucleotide ribosomal RNA is filed under the name uncultured bacterium. Its description in RNAcentral is "partial 16S ribosomal RNA". It matches the Rfam family "Bacterial small subunit ribosomal RNA", at positions 29 to 507 of the family's 1533-position model. The record is from RNAcentral.